CAGUCGCCGCGGUAAUACGGAGGGUGCAAGCGUUAAUCGGAAUUACUGGGCGUAAAGCGCACGCAGGCGGUCUGACAAGUCAGAUGUGAAAUCCCUGAGCUUAACUUAGGAAUUGCAUUCGAUACUGGGAAGCUAGAGUAUGGGAGAGGAUGGUAGAAUUCCAGGUGUAGCGGUGAAAUGCGUAGAGAUCUGGAGGAAUACCGAUGGCGAAGGCAGCCAUCUGGCCUAAUACUGACGCUGAGGUACGAAAGCAUGGGGAGCAAACAGGAUUAGAUACCCGUGUAGUCCCUGUCUCUUAUAC
RNAcentral lists this ribosomal RNA (301 nucleotides) under uncultured bacterium. RNAcentral's name for it is "partial 16S ribosomal RNA". It matches the Rfam family "Bacterial small subunit ribosomal RNA", at positions 509 to 807 of the family's 1533-position model. The record is from RNAcentral.